UACGUAGGGUGCAAGCGUUGUCCGGAAUUAUUGGGCGUAAAGAGCUCGUAGGCGGUUUGUUGCGUCGGCUGUGAAAUCCCGAGGCUCAACCUCGGGUCUGCAGUCGAUACGAGCAAACUAGAGUGUUGCAGGGGAGACUGGAAUUCCUGGUGUAGCGGUGAAAUGCGCAGAUAUCAGGAGGAACACCGGUGGCGAAGGCGGGUCUCUGGGCAACAACUGACACUGAGGGACGAAAGCUAGGGGAGCGAAUGGG
Molecule: ribosomal RNA, 253 nt
Filed under: uncultured bacterium
Lineage: Bacteria
Description: partial 16S ribosomal RNA
Rfam family: Bacterial small subunit ribosomal RNA
Source: RNAcentral